Molecule: long non-coding RNA, 538 nt
Filed under: Gallus gallus (chicken)
Lineage: Eukaryota; Metazoa; Chordata; Aves; Galliformes; Phasianidae
Source: RNAcentral
CAAGGGGGUUCAAAGGGUCUCCAUUGAGCAACCCCAUACCCCAACCCCAUAGAUGAGGGGGUUUCAGACAUGGGGGUUCAAAGGGCCCCUAUUGAGCAACCCUAAAUCCUUACCCAGUAGAUGAGAGGAGUUUGGACAUGGGGGUUAAAAGGGUCCCCAUUGAGCAACCCUAAACCCCAACCCCAUAGAUGAGGGGGUUUCGUUCAAGGGGGUUAAAAGGGUCUCCAUUGAGCAACCCUAUACCCCAACCCCAUAGAUAAAGGGGUUCAGCCAAGGGAGAUGGGCUUCAAAGGGUCCCCAUUGAGCGACCCUAAAUCCCUACCCAGUAGAUGAGAGGAGUUUGGACAUGGGGGUUAAAAGGGUCUCCAUUGAGCAACCCCAUACGCCGACCCCAUAGAUGAGGGGGUUUCGUUCAAGGGGGUUCAAAGGGCCCCUAUUGAGCGACCCCACCCCAUAGAUGAGGGGGUUUCAGACAUGGGGGUUGAAAGGGCCCCUAUUGAGCGACCCUAAACCCCGACCCCAUAGAUGAGGGGGUUUC